Molecule: long non-coding RNA, 158 nt
Filed under: Numida meleagris (helmeted guineafowl)
Lineage: Eukaryota; Metazoa; Chordata; Aves; Galliformes; Numididae
Description: lncRNA (ENSNMEG00000021225.1)
Source: RNAcentral
AGGAGACAAGAAAGGAAAGUCAUUACAAGGUGUUUUGUAAGAUUUGACCUUGCUGAAAUCAAUUAAAAUCAGAGGCAACAUUUGCAAUGGCUGCAGGAGAGCUAGGAGUCUUCUACAUCUUCUACUUGGGUGCAAUUGGAGUGAGAGACCAACUCAUU